GACGAACGCUGGCGGCGUGCUUAACACAUGCAAGUCGAACGGAAAGGCCCUGCUUUUGUGGGGUGCUCGAGUGGCGAACGGGUGAGUAACACGUGAGUAACCUGCCCUUGACUUUGGGAUAACUUCAGGAAACUGGGGCUAAUACCGGAUAGGAGCUCCUGCUGCAUGGUGGGGGUUGGAAAGUUUCGGCGGUUGGGGAUGGACUCGCGGCUUAUCGGCUUGUUGGUGGGGUAGUGGCUUACCAAGGCUUUGACGGGUAGCCGGCCUGAGAGGGUGACCGGCCACAUUGGGACUGAGAUACGGCCCAGACUCCUACGGGAGGCAGCAGUGGGGAAUAUUGCACAAAGGGCGGAAGCCUGAUGCAGCAACGCCGCGUGCGGGAUGACGGCCUUCGGGUUGUAAACCGCUUUCGCCUGUGACGAAGCGUGAGUGACGGUAAUGGGUAAAGAAGCACCGGCUAACUACGUG
RNAcentral lists this ribosomal RNA (468 nucleotides) under uncultured bacterium. RNAcentral describes it as "partial 16S ribosomal RNA". It matches the Rfam family "Bacterial small subunit ribosomal RNA", at positions 28 to 507 of the family's 1533-position model. The record is from RNAcentral.